Molecule: ribosomal RNA, 492 nt
Filed under: uncultured bacterium
Lineage: Bacteria
Description: partial 16S ribosomal RNA
Rfam family: Bacterial small subunit ribosomal RNA
Source: RNAcentral
AGUGAACGCUGGCGGUAGGCCUAACACAUGCAAGUCGAACGGCAGCACAGUAAGAGCUUGCUCUUACGGGUGGCGAGUGGCGGACGGGUGAGGAAUACAUCGGAAUCUACUUUUUCGUGGGGGAUAACGUAGGGAAACUUACGCUAAUACCGCAUACGACCUACGGGUGAAAGCAGGGGAUCUUCGGACCUUGCGCGAUUGAAUGAGCCGAUGUCGGAUUAGCUAGUUGGCGGGGUAAAGGCCCACCAAGGCGACGAUCCGUAGCUGGUCUGAGAGGAUGAUCAGCCAACAUGGAAAUGGGACACGGUCCAGACUACUACGGGAGGGCGCAGUGGGGAAUAUUGGACAAUGGGGGCAAGCCUGAUCCAGCCCUAACGAGUGGGUGAAGAAGGCCCUCGGGUUGUAAAGGCCUUUUGUUGGGAAAGAAAAGCAGCAGGUUAAUACCCCGCUGUUCUGACGGUACCCAAAGAAUAAGCACCGGCUAACUUCGUG